GGCGAGAUGGCCGAGCGGUCUAAGGCGCUAGAAUCAGGUGUUUACUUGAAUCUAGUCUUUCGGGGCGUGGGUUCGAAUCCCACUCUCGUCA
RNAcentral lists this transfer RNA (91 nucleotides) under Fistulina hepatica ATCC 64428. It matches the Rfam family "tRNA". Rfam says of the family: Transfer RNA (tRNA) molecules are approximately 80 nucleotides in length. Their secondary structure includes four short double-helical elements and three loops (D, anti-codon, and T loops). Lineage: Eukaryota; Fungi; Basidiomycota; Agaricomycetes; Agaricales; Fistulinaceae. The record is from Rfam by way of RNAcentral.